GCUGGGUGUGGUGGCGCACGCCUGUAAUCCCAGCAGUUUGGGAGGCUGAGGCUGGAGGAUCAUGGGUUCAAAGCCAGCCUCAG
RNAcentral lists this small RNA (83 nucleotides) under Marmota monax (woodchuck). Lineage: Eukaryota; Metazoa; Chordata; Mammalia; Rodentia; Sciuridae. The record is from RNAcentral.